UACAGAGGUCCCAAGCGUUGUUCGGAUUCACUGGGCGUAAAGGGUGCGUAGGCGGUUGGGUAAGUCUGUCGUGAAAUCUCCGAGCCUAACUCGGAAACUGCGUCGGAUACUAUUCAACUCGAGGAAUGGAGGGGAGACUGGAAUUCUCGGUGUAGCAGUGAAAUGCGUAGAUAUCGAGAGGAACACCAGUGGCGAAGGCGAGUCUCUGGACAUUUCCUGACGCUGAGGAGCGAAAGCGUGGGUAGCGAACAGG
RNAcentral lists this ribosomal RNA (253 nucleotides) under uncultured bacterium. RNAcentral describes it as "partial 16S ribosomal RNA". It matches the Rfam family "Bacterial small subunit ribosomal RNA", at positions 524 to 776 of the family's 1533-position model. The record is from RNAcentral.